This 497-nucleotide ribosomal RNA is filed under the name uncultured bacterium. RNAcentral's name for it is "partial 16S ribosomal RNA". It matches the Rfam family "Bacterial small subunit ribosomal RNA", at positions 28 to 507 of the family's 1533-position model. The record is from RNAcentral.
GAUGAACGCUGGCGGCGUGCCUAAUACAUGCAAGUCGAGCGAACGGACGAGAAGCUUGCUUCUCUGAUGUUAGCGGCGGACGGGUGUGUAACACGUGUAUAACCUCCCUAUCAGACUGGGAUAACUUCGGGAAACCGGAGCUAAUACCGGAUAAUAUUUUGCACCGCAUGGUUCAAUAGUGAAAGACGGUCUUUCUGUCACUUAUAGCUGGAUCCGCGCUGCAUUAGCUAGUUGGUAAGGUAACGGCUUACCAAGGCAACGAUGCAUAGCCGACCUGAGAGGGUGAUCGGCCACACUGGAACUGAGACACGGUCCAGACUCCUACGGGAGGCAGCAGUAGGGAAUCGUCCGCAAUGGGCGAAAGCCUGACGGAGCAAGGCCGCGUGAGUGAUGAAGGUCUUCGGAUCGUAAAACUCUGUUAUUAGGGAAGAACAUAUGUGUAAGUAACUGUGCACAGCUUGACGGUAACUAAUCAGAAAGCCACGGCUAACUACGUG